RNAcentral lists this transfer-messenger RNA (399 nucleotides) under Candidatus Gastranaerophilaceae. RNAcentral describes it as "UBA2813 sp902796825 Standard tmRNA". It matches the Rfam family "transfer-messenger RNA". Rfam says of the family: Bacterial tmRNA, also known as 10Sa RNA or SsrA, is named for its dual tRNA and mRNA-like properties. Its role is to liberate the mRNA from a stalled ribosome. To accomplish this part of the tmRNA is used as a reading frame that ends in a translation stop signal. Lineage: Bacteria; Bacillati; Candidatus Melainabacteria; Candidatus Gastranaerophilales. The record is from RNAcentral. RNAcentral also lists the same sequence under 1 other name.
GGGGACGUUUUGGAUUAGACAGGAUGUUUUGGUGGAAAUAUGCGGCGUGUCGGAGAGCUGUUCUCCGUUAUCAACGGGCAAAACAAAUUAAAUGCUAACAAUGUAAUUAAAGCAGACUUCUCUAGAGCAGCAGCUUUAGCAGCGUAGUCGCUAUUUAGCUACUCAUAAGUCCCAGCUUGCCGGAUUUAUGGGUCCAUUAUGCAAGCGGCAAUGCGUUAAUGCAAAGUAGGCGCACCAAGUUAACUUUGCAGAGUUUAGCGUUUCUCUCAAAUAAAACCUUUGGUCAAUUCGUAGGGUUUAGACAUUUUCCUGAAUUGAUUGAGCAAAAAACAGUCUACACACGUAGAAGUAUGUUUACAUCCAUUUUGGACAGGGGUUCAACUCCCCUCGUCUCCACCA